UCGUCUUCAGAGGCGAAGUGA
RNAcentral lists this non-coding RNA (21 nucleotides) under Arabidopsis thaliana (thale cress). Lineage: Eukaryota; Viridiplantae; Streptophyta; Magnoliopsida; Brassicales; Brassicaceae. The record is from RNAcentral.